This 637-nucleotide ribosomal RNA is filed under the name uncultured bacterium. RNAcentral describes it as "bacterial SSU rRNA". It matches the Rfam family "Bacterial small subunit ribosomal RNA", at positions 607 to 1244 of the family's 1533-position model. The record is from RNAcentral.
GCUCAACCGGGGAGGGUCAUUGGAAACUGGGGAACUUGAGUGCAGAAGAGGAGAGUGGAAUUCCACGUGUAGCGGUGAAAUGCGUAGAGAUGUGGAGGAACACCAGUGGCGAAGGCGACUCUCUGGUCUGCAACUGACGCUGAGGCGCGAAAGCGUGGGGAGCGAACAGGAUUAGAUACCCUGGUAGUCCACGCCGUAAACGAUGAGUGCUAAGUGUUAGAGGGUUUCCGCCCUUUAGUGCUGCAGCAAACGCAUUAAGCACUCCGCCUGGGGAGUACGGUCGCAAGACUGAAACUCAAAGGAAUUGACGGGGGCCCGCACAAGCGGUGGAGCAUGUGGUUUAAUUCGAAGCAACGCGAAGAACCUUACCAGGUCUUGACAUCCUUUGACAACCCUAGAGAUAGGGCUUCCCCUUCGGGGGCAGAGUGACAGGUGGUGCAUGGUUGUCGUCAGCUCGUGUCGUGAGAUGUUGGGUUAAGUCCCGCAACGAGCGCAACCCUUGAUCUUAGUUGCCAGCAUUCAGUUGGGCACUCUAAGGUGACUGCCGGUGACAAACCGGAGGAAGGUGGGGAUGACGUCGAAUCAUCAUGCCCCUUAUGACCUGGGCUACACACGUGCUACAAUGGGCAGAACAAAG